Molecule: long non-coding RNA, 537 nt
Organism: Passer domesticus (house sparrow)
Lineage: Eukaryota; Metazoa; Chordata; Aves; Passeriformes; Passeridae
Exons: 3
Source: RefSeq, a predicted model, not a curated record
UCUCCACCUUGCAGUCUGUAGGCAUUGCAGUCACACUGUGUGCAUCUUGAGGAACACUCACAGAUCUGUAAUUCCUACAGAUAUCAAAGAUACUCUGCUGAACAUGGGAUUUGCAGCACUUGUCCAGGGGGAAACCUUACACAGCCACAGCAACAGAAGGUUAAGUUAUUUAGCAGUAGUUACAACGCUGUCUCCUCCUUUUUUCCUGCUGCCAUUAAAGUCAGCUGUGUACUCUGAUUAAGAUGUGGAAGCAGUUGAUUAGUCUGAAGAUCAGCAAGCUUGUUUAGCUUCUGUUCAUUGUCACAGGAAGGCAAUCACACCUCUCCCCUUCCCCUCUGCACCCCAAAGCAGUUCAUGCCAGGGCCAGCAGCAGAGACUGAGAGCCUCUUUCAGGAAGCAGUGUCAGUGGGUUUGGCUUCCCAGGGAACCAUUGAUAAUUGCUCUCAAGAUAUGGAUUUCAACCAGCUUUGCAGCCACUGUAUUGUAUUUUCAUCAGCAUCCAGUGGGAUAUUGCAUUGGAAAUCAGGAACAUGUGAU